AUUGAACGCUGGCGGCAGGCCUAACACAUGCAAGUCGAGCGGAUGAAGGGAGCUUGCUCCUGGAUUCAGCGGCGGACGGGUGAGUAAUGCCUAGGAAUCUGCCUGGUAGUGGGGGAUAACGUCCGGAAACGGGCGCUAAUACCGCCUACGUCCUGAGGGAGCAAGUGGGGGAUCUUCGGACCUCACGCGAUCAGAUGAGCCUAGGUCGGAUUAGCUAGUUGGUGGGGUAAAGGCCUACCAAGGCGACGAUCCGUAACUGGUCUGAGAGGAUGAUCAGUCACCCUGGAACUGAGACACGGUCCAGACUCCUACGGGAGGCAGCAGUGGGGAAUAUUGGACAAUGGUCGAAAGCCUGAUCCAGCCAUGCCGCGUGUGUGAAGAAGGUCUUCGGAUUGUAAAGCACUUUAAGUUGGGAGGAAGGGCAGUAAGUUAAUACCUUGCUGUUUUGACGUUACCAACAGAAUAAGCACCGGCUAACUUCGUG
Molecule: ribosomal RNA, 484 nt
Filed under: uncultured bacterium
Lineage: Bacteria
Description: partial 16S ribosomal RNA
Rfam family: Bacterial small subunit ribosomal RNA
Source: RNAcentral